This is a long non-coding RNA of Zonotrichia albicollis (white-throated sparrow), 1594 nucleotides long. RefSeq lists it as uncharacterized. NCBI's taxonomy places the organism in Eukaryota, Metazoa, Chordata, Aves, Passeriformes, Passerellidae. The record is from RefSeq and is a predicted model, not a curated record.
AGUGUAUUUUCAUGCUUUCAGUGAGUGUUUUGUGUCUUUGGUUUCUUUGGAAAUUUGCAAGAAGAUAAAAAGAAAUCUCAGAAUGUAAAGUACACGCUGGGCUUUGGGAAGCCUGCAAUGAUAAAAAAAUUCUUUCUUUCCAGAGCCUGUGAGCAGCUCUGCAAUAUCCAGUAUGGCAUGUAAGAGGCAGCAACAGGUAAAAGGAUGCACAGUAAUUCUACACUGCUGAAUUAAUCCAGAGGACAAGUGUUUUGACUGGAUGGCAGUCAAAUCAAACUGGGUGCUAUUAAAAGGCUAACAUAUGGCUGGGAGUCAGAUCAUCUGGCUGCUUUAUGGGCUCUUAUCUUUCACUGUGCUGCACACAAGAAGAAAUACUUCUGGAUCUUGCUCUGGUAGAGCAAACAAUUAUAUAAGUGACAUUAGAGGCAGAAUAUCUGGGUCACCUGGAGAGAAUACCUUUUGAUGAAUAAAGAUGUGCAUGCUAGGAAGUGGAGAAGAAAGAAACCUAGACAUAAGCUGUCUAGGGAACGGGAUGUGAGAUUUACAGGAGAAGUGGCCCUGGUGGCAAAAGAAGCUUGGAGAGAGGUCUGCAAGGUGUGGGUUCUGGACAUAGCCUCCAGUGAGACAACCAAAUAGCUGCAGACUGAAAGACUAGGAAUGUGUCACAGCUGAGGUACUAGAACAAAGACCAAGGAGAGCAAAAGAUGUCCAUGAAGAUGGAAAUCAGCUUGUGAGGCAAAUGGCUAAUUCCCAAAGCCAAGUGGAAGGAGUUUCUGUAGAGGGGAAAUUGAGAAAGCAGCAACAGGGUGUUUAUUACCUCCCCAGCGAAGCAGUGCAGGCAGAGCACAGCCUCUUAAAGGAUUUGAGAUCCUUCCCUUGAUCUGGACAUGGCUGCCUGCCUCUCCCUGGGAACAGCCACUGUGUGGAGCAUCACUCAUCCUCUUUCUUACAGGACUGCUCUUUGUCCCUGGUAUUCAAAAGCUGUGCUGCUGAACCUGGCCUUGAGCAAUGUGAAAGUGUGCCACGUGGCUGUGAAAGCAGCCAGCUACCUGGCCGAAGAAGCACAGCCCGUGUACACAAAAGUGGAAUUCAGCUAAUUUCACCUCCAGAAGCUACUUUCUAUGUUGAAACAACAUAAUUCAGGGGGCAAGCAGAGUUCCUCUAGGUGCUGGUAAGCUGCCCUCACCCUGCUGGGGUGACUUCCCAGUGCUCCAGCAGCACCUGUAUAGCAUCCACGUAGGGAAAGCUACACCUAAUCUUGGAGGCCAGAGUUACACUGGGAUAACCCCAAGCACUCUCAGGGCCAUAUCAGUCCUUUUCCUCUUCUGGAGGCACUGGACAUUUUAGCAUUCAUGUAAAUAAAGUAUGUGUGAAACAAAUGUUGUAUCUUUCCACACAGACACACAUGCAUGACACAAAUGCUCUGAGGCUAUCGGGUCAUUUAUAAUGCUCUUUGGUUUUUAUUACCAAGUAGACACAGUAUUUUUCAUGUACACAACUUGCAUAUUCGCUAUUAUUUUCAGCUGUUUUAAAGUAAUAAAUAUUCUCAUGCACCUGGACAUAGUGGUGCUGCAAUUCUUACACAUUUGCCUCU